CGCACAUUGCGCCCCUUGGUAUUCCGAGGGGUAUGCCUGUUCGAGCGUCAUUAUCACCUCUCAAGUCUAGGCUUGGUGUUGGACCCUGGGUCUAGGCUACCAGACCGGUCUCAAAGAUAGUGACGGCGUCCGGAAAGGAACCCGUACGAGGAGCUUCUAAUCAAGCAUGUACGCGGCGUGAUUUCGUGGACGACGGUCUUUACUCAAAUAUCAUACCAGUGUUGACCUCGGAUCAGGUAGGAAUACCCGCUGAACUUAA
Molecule: unclassified non-coding RNA, 259 nt
Filed under: Chaetothyriales sp.
Lineage: Eukaryota; Fungi; Ascomycota; Eurotiomycetes; Chaetothyriales
Description: partial contains 5.8S ribosomal RNA, internal transcribed spacer 2, and large subunit ribosomal RNA
Source: RNAcentral